AGGUGGAACCAAUGAUAGCAAAUGCUGACAAAGAGAAAGCUGGACAAGCAGUUUUUUGGUGAUUAAUACCGAAGGGACGGGAUGAAAGAAGGAAGCAAGAAUGCAGUUUAGUGGACCCUUGACAGCACCAGAAGCUGCGGCAGUAGGAGGUGUUCUGGCCUGGGUAACUAAGGUAACUCUUGAUGCUGAAUGUUAGUUAUUUCGGCCUCCCGGAGGCAGCGCUGAGGACUCAGUAACCCGUUCCUACCCUGUGGAUAUUGUUCACUGUAUCUGCCUUAGUUUUGUUUUGGUCGUUUCUAUUUUGUUUUGUUAUCAUACGUGCAUCUAUAGAAAGGGAAAGAUACAAUAUUUAAUUUUUAGAUUAAUUGCCACGGCUGAAGUUGAAGAGACCAGAAAAAUGUAAGCAAGCUGAAGUAAUAAAAUCAAAAGGAACCAAGCGAGAGCUGUCUCCAUCGCCCAAAAAGGGAAAGCCCAUUCCUCCUGGCGAGGAAGGAUCACCAAUAAUAGCAAUUGGAAUAAUAGAUCACCAACAUAUAACGGAAGGUCUGUACGCAUUACAAAAAGUAUGCUACGUACAUAUAUUUCUGCGCGUGUGACUUCAUGCAUCUAUGAAGCAUCAUACUUUAAGAGCUACAAGACAGCAAACUAUUAUCCUAGGGGAAUGGUGGUCAAGUGGCCAGAGUUACUGAAGAGACAGAGACAGAGAGACAGAAGUGUCUGAAUUGUAAAACGAAGAGAUGGCUUUCAGGAAGGCUCAGUUAGCGCGACCCCAGGUUAAUUGCCUGGCAAUGGCAUUUGGGGCAGCAGGAAGGCGGCAGCUAGAAGAAAAGUUAAAGCCUUGCGGAAUUAAGACUCCUUCUCGUCAGUUCCAACUCCGAGCAAUCUUAGGAGGAUUUAAUUUCCUCCAGCAGCGUUAACCUGGCUUUGCCAGUAUCAGCGCACCGUGAUGGAAAUGACCGGAAAGGAGUCAGGAACGGAACCGGAACAAGGAACAUGAGGCUGCUUUCACUGGACUGGAAGAAGCGGCUAAGAUCUGCUGCCCUCAAAUCCCCAGGACAAGGCCGAUGGAUUUUACUAAGCCUCCAUCAACAAGCGCUGGCUGACAGAGCUGUUACGUCCCAGCGGAGACUCUUAGGCAAGACGGAGGAGUUCAGCUCCGCAGCCUGCCAGAAGAGCGUCGCCCGCGAGGGGUUGCUAGCCUGGAGUUAUAGGCGCCGAUGCACAUGGCUCGUUCUGUCAGGCGCGAAGAGGCUGACGUUCCGAGGGCCGGCAACCAGAAGUGGAGCGGCUCAGCCCGUUUGGUUGAUUUCGGUGGUACUGUUUAAAGUACAGAAGGGGUCUGGGAGGGUUUUCGAGCAAGACAGGAAAGAGCAAGGAAGACUGGAGAGUGUGGAGAAACUAGGUGCCGUGAACGUACUGAAGACCUGAGAGAAUUUGGG
RNAcentral lists this long non-coding RNA (1439 nucleotides) under Apteryx rowi (Okarito brown kiwi). RNAcentral describes it as "lncRNA (ENSARWG00000006429.1)". Lineage: Eukaryota; Metazoa; Chordata; Aves; Apterygiformes; Apterygidae. The record is from RNAcentral.